UUGGUGCCGCUUGUCUCUAUUCCUUCUAUCUCUCGUCUGCCUCGCCAAGUCUAGUGCAGAAGUGUUCUCUUAUCUCCGUUUCUUCCAUCAAUAACCUCUCUUGAAAAUCACAAUGCCAGUUGAUUCCCUCGUAGCCUCUUUUUUCCCUUCUGAGUCAAUUCCUAAAGAGCCCGUCUCAUCAGGCCAGUCGGCACAAUCACAGUAAGAGUCGACUCUUUGAUACAAUUCCAAUUUUCUGGGAUGUUGGAUGCAUAAUCUGCCACAACCAUCGUUUCUUGCAAAGCUAGUCAGCCACCAUAAGCACCUUGCCUCUAGUCCUCUCGCCACUAUCCUUUGCGGCCUCUGCUCUUCUCUUAUUCUUUAGUCCUUUCAAUCCUUUGUCUUCAAGUUUCGUCUAACUUUUCUCCUACUAAAUUGCUUGGUAUAUCAUUG
RNAcentral lists this unclassified non-coding RNA (432 nucleotides) under Hevea brasiliensis (rubber tree). The record is from RNAcentral. Lineage: Eukaryota; Viridiplantae; Streptophyta; Magnoliopsida; Malpighiales; Euphorbiaceae.